Molecule: long non-coding RNA, 568 nt
Organism: Poecilia latipinna (sailfin molly)
Lineage: Eukaryota; Metazoa; Chordata; Actinopteri; Cyprinodontiformes; Poeciliidae
Exons: 2
Source: RefSeq, a predicted model, not a curated record
UGACCACAGCGCCGCCGCCGCUGCUCCCCGGACCUGAUCCGGACGGGAAUCAGGAGGAAACAGAAACAAUGCAAACAGAGACACAAACAGAACUGGAUGUUUCACACGGCGCGCACUACUGACGACUAAAGACGAGAAGAAACUGGGUUAGAAUAUUUUUUUGUACGAGGAAAAACCCUGGAGGACGUCGACUUUCCUGCUUUCUCCGCACAUGUGCAGGAUGGUAGAGAGGGGAGGGGCGUUUGAGCGUUCCUCGCCCGCAUCAGGACAUGAAACCGGACCCGACAGAUCCGGCUCCUGAUCCCAAACGUUUAAACACUGGAGGAGUCGCAGCUUCACUCACAAACACACACAGCUGUAUUGUUUUCGUGUUGGACACCGUUACCGUGGUGACGAUGUGCGACAGCUUCCUGUUGAUGUGUGAGGGAAUCGGUGAAGCCCGGCUGUCCUGAUGCCUUUUCCUCCCUGUAACUAAGAGAAGACUUUUAUAGAGGCCACAAAUUAAAUAGAUAAAUGACCAUUUUGUAAGAAUGAUUUAUAAUAAAAAAUAAACUCAUAUUUGAUUAUA